GGUUCACGGACCCGCCGCUCCAUGCUGGGGGACCAGAUGCCUCUGUUUAUGCUCCCCUCCUCCCGUCCUUCUGCCGGACGGCAGCAAGACAGAGCCGCCAGUCAUCACUAGACUUCAUCUGUCCCCACAAUCUUGUCUUUCAAUAUAUUCUUUCCUCCACCCCUUUCUGUCCCCACGCACCCUCCCCCAGAUGACCAGAAGGGGUAUUUCUCUUUUUAAAGUUUGACCCAAUAGAACAAAGCGGAAUAAAGGACUAGUCAGGAGGGUGUGGAUCACUGUCGUGGGAAGGACGCCCUGGGGUGUUCAGCAAUCCAGCCGGGAGGCCGCGGGCACCCCCUGCCCCCUGUGUCACCACGACUUCCAGCUAUACAUCUCGCUGUGGUUGUUUAGGAACAGCCCACUGAGAAGCCAACUCUGGAUGCCUGCACUUGGCCUUCUCAGGAAAACUGACCUGCGGUGCUACAAGUCAGAGACAGCGAGAAACAGCGACAGAUUUGAAGUUGACCGCCAGCUGUCAUCUCUUCAAGGCCCCCAAGAUGGGCUCGGUUUUGUACUUCUUCCUUCAGACCUGAGGAGUUUUUGAAUGACCACUAGCAUCUUCAAUGGACCACACAGCAUGCAUUGCACACUGAAAAUUACCUGGGACCAAUCUCAACAAGAAAACAAAUCUGCUUCUUCAGAGCAAGGCGGGAAGACAAGGAAGCAUCUUUUCACCUGGGAAAGAUUAAACUAAAAUGUAAAACUUAACUAAAAGCAAAGAAUCUUGCUACUCUCUAUCAAGAGGUCUAUUUCCACUUGUUUUGAAUAUCCACGGGCUUUUGUGACUGCUCCCACAGACAGAAUGUGGUGGGCAUGAUGCUGCAUGACUUCUAAGGAAAUAAAUUCAGCCACCAUGUUGUAGAGAAGCUCGGGCCACAUGGAGAAAAAAUCACCUGGAGGUUCCAGCUGAAAGCCCAGCUAAGAUCUCAGCUGACAAUCAACACCAACUGCAAACAUGGGAGUGAGUGAAUGAGCUUUCAGAUGACGUCAGCCCACAGCAUCCAAGCUGCCCUAAUGCUGGGUAAGUAUAGUGAAGAACUUCAACAACAGCGAUGCUGGAAAUCCAGUUCUAAGUUUUCCAUCUGUCUGUGCUGUAAUUAUACUGUAGUAUUCCCAAGCCUUUCAUAAAAAUCCAGUAAAAGUUCA
Long non-coding RNA from Suricata suricatta (meerkat), 1185 nucleotides. RefSeq lists it as uncharacterized. The record is from RefSeq and is a predicted model, not a curated record. The transcript has 3 exons. Lineage: Eukaryota; Metazoa; Chordata; Mammalia; Carnivora; Herpestidae.